Molecule: transfer RNA, 84 nt
Filed under: Actinomycetes bacterium
Lineage: Bacteria; Bacillati; Actinomycetota; Actinomycetes
Also listed under: 1 other name
Description: tRNA-Leu
Rfam family: tRNA
About the family: Transfer RNA (tRNA) molecules are approximately 80 nucleotides in length.
Source: RNAcentral
GCGGAAGUGGCGUAACUGGCAGCCGCGCUGGGUUUAGGUCCCAGUGCCCGCAAGGGCGUGCGGGUUCGAGUCCCGCCUUCCGCA